This is an RNA transcript of Carlito syrichta (Philippine tarsier), 376 nucleotides long. It is a transcript of the gene named glyceraldehyde-3-phosphate dehydrogenase pseudogene, with no coding region annotated. The transcript has a single exon. Lineage: Eukaryota; Metazoa; Chordata; Mammalia; Primates; Tarsiidae. The record is from RefSeq and is a predicted model, not a curated record.
GCUGCGGGUGACCGUGGCCCACGUCGUGCCCCCGGGGGACCCCCGGACCGGGUGUGGCCGGGACAGGGCCUGCUGGCAGGGCUGCCCAAGGAAGACCCAGCCCGGCCUCGCGGGGCCCCGAGACCCCGCGCCUCACGCGCUCCUGCCUCUCGCCUCGCCCCGCAGCUUUGGCCGGAUCGGGCGCCUGGUCACCAGGGCUGCUUUCAUCUCGGGCAAGGUGAGCAUCGUCGCCAUCAACGACCCCUUCAUUGACCUCAACUACAUGGUGUACAUGUUCCAGUACGACUCCACCCACGGCAAGUUCCACGGCACCGUCAAGGCCGCGGACGGCAAGCUGGUCAUCAACGGGAGUCCCAUCACCAUCUUCCAGGAGUGA